CCGUAACUAUAACGGUCCUAAGGUAGCGAAAUUCCUUGUCGGGUAAGUUCCGACCCGCACGAAAGGCGUAAUGAUUUGGGCACUGUCUCGACAAUGCACCCGGUGAAAUUGAAAUACCAGUGAAGAUGCUGGUUACCUGCGCCAGGACGGAAAGACCCCAUGGAGCUUUACUCCAGCUUGAUACUGGGAUUCGGUAUUGCAUGUACAGGAUAGGUGGGAGGCUAGGAAAUGGUAACGCCAGUUGCCAUGGAGCCAAUGUUGGGAUACCACCCUUGCAGUACUGGGUUUCUAACCAGCAGCCGUGAUCCGGCUGGGGGACAAUGUCAGGUGGGGAGUUUGACUGGGGCGGUCGCCUCCGAAAGGGUAUCGGAGGCGCUCAAAGGUUCCCUCAGAAUGGUUGGAAACCAUUCGAAGAGUGCAAAGGCAGAAGGGAGCUUGACUGCGACACCGACGGGUGGAGCAGGUACGAAAGUAGGACUUAGUGAUCCGGUGGUAUGAAAGUGGGAUUGCCAUCGCUCAACGGAUAAAAGCUACCCUGGGGAUAACAGGCUUAUCACUCCCAAGAGUUCACAUCGACGGAGUGGUUUGGCACCUCGAUGUCGGCUCAUCGCAUCCUGGGGCUGUAGUAGGUCCCAAGGGUUGGGCUGUUCGCCCAUUAAAGCGGUACGCGAGCUGGGUUCAGAACGUCGUGAGACAGUUCGGUCCCUAUCCGGCGUGGGCGUAGGAUAUUUGAGAGGAGCUGUCCUUAGUACGAGAGGACCGGGAUGGACUGGCCGCUGGUGUAUCUGUUGUCUUACCAAAGGCAUAGCAGAGUAGCCAAGCCGGGAAGGGAUAAACGCUGAAGGCAUCUAAGCGUGAAGCCCCCCUCAAGAUGAGAUAUCCCAUAACGUAAGUUAGUAAGACCCCUUGAAGACGACGAGGUAGAUAGGCAGAAGGUGGAAGUGUGGUGACAUAUGGAGCUGAUCUGUACUAAUAGGUCGAGGGCUUAACCAA
This 993-nucleotide ribosomal RNA is filed under the name metagenome. Its description in RNAcentral is "bacterial LSU rRNA". It matches the Rfam family "Bacterial large subunit ribosomal RNA", at positions 1934 to 2925 of the family's 2925-position model. The record is from RNAcentral.